UCCCCAAGAGUCCAUAUCGACGGGAUGGUUUGGCACCUCGAUGUCGGCUCGUCGCAUCCUGGGGCUGGAGUCGGUCCCAAGGGUUGGGCUGUUCGCCCAUUAAAGCGGUACGCGAGCUGGGUUUAGAACGUCGUGAGACAGUUCGGUCCCUAUCCGCUGUGCGCGUAGGAAUAUUGAGAAGGGCUGUCCCUAGUACGAGAGGACCGGGACGGACGAACCUCUGGUGUGCCAGUUGUCCUGCCAAGGGCAUGGCUGGUUGGCUACGUUCGGGAGGGAUAACCGCUGAAAGCAUCUAAGCGGGAAGCCUGCUUCGAGAUGAGUAUUCCCACCCCCUUGAGGGGUUAAGGCUCCCAGUAGACGACUGGGUUGAUAGGCCAGAUCUGGAAGGCGGGUAACCGCUGGAGGUGACUGGUACUAAUAGGCCGAGGGCUUGUCCUCAGUUG
Molecule: ribosomal RNA, 443 nt
Filed under: Streptomyces sp. SID14446
Lineage: Bacteria; Bacillati; Actinomycetota; Actinomycetes; Kitasatosporales; Streptomycetaceae
Description: partial 23S ribosomal RNA
Rfam family: Bacterial large subunit ribosomal RNA
Source: RNAcentral